AGGUAAUAGAUACCCUGGUAGUCCACGCCGUAAACGAUGAGUGCUAAGUGUUAGGGGGUUUCCGCCCCUUAGUGCUGCAGCUAAACGCAUUAAGCACUCCGCCUGGGGAGUACGGUCGCAAGACUGAAACUCAAAGGAAUUGACGGGGGCCCGCACAAGCGGUGGAGCAUGUGGUUUAAUUCGAAGCAACGCGAAGAACCUUACCAGGUCUUGACAUCCCGUUGACCACUGUAGAGAUAUGGUUUUCCCUUCGGGGACAACGGUGACAGGUGGUGCAUGGUUGUCGUCAGCUCGUGUCGUGAGAUGUUGGGUUAAGUCCCGCAACGAGCGCAACCCUUGAUCUUAGUUGCCAUCAUUUAGUUGGGCACUCUAAGGUGACUGCCGGUGACAAACCGGAGGAAGGUGGGGAUGACGUCAAAUCAUCAUGCCCCUUAUGACCUGGGCUACACACGUGCUACAAUGGACGAUACAAACGGUUGCCAACUCGCGAGAGGGAGCUGAUCCGAUAAAGUCGUUCUCAGUUCGGAUUGUAGGCUGCAAC
Molecule: ribosomal RNA, 541 nt
Filed under: uncultured bacterium
Lineage: Bacteria
Description: bacterial SSU rRNA
Rfam family: Bacterial small subunit ribosomal RNA
Source: RNAcentral